UAACGCAUUAAGCGCCCCGCCUGGGGAGUACGGCCGCAAGGCUAAAACUCAAAGGAAUUGACGGGGGCCCGCACAAGCGGCGGAGCAUGCGGAUUAAUUCGAUGCAACGCGAAGAACCUUACCAAGGCUUGACAUAUACCGGUAACGGCCAGAAAUGGUCGCCCCGCAAGGUCGGUAUACAGGUGGUGCAUGGUUGUCGUCAGCUCGUGUCGUGAGAUGUUGGGUUAAGUCCCGCAACGAGCGCAACCCUCGUUCUAUGUUGCCAGCACGUGAUGGUGGGAACUCAUAGGAGACUGCCGGGGUCAACUCGGAGGAAGGUGGGGAUGACGUCAAAUCAUCAUGCCCCUUAUGUCUUGGGCUUCACGCAUGCUACAAUGGCCGGUACAAAGGGCUGCGAUACCGUAAGGUGGAGCGAAUCCCAAAAAGCCGGUCUCAGUUCGGAUUGAGGUCUGCAACUCGACCUCAUGAAGUCGGAGUCGCUAGUAAUCGCAGAUCAGCAACGCUGCGGUGAAUACGUUCCCGGGCCUUGUACACACCGCCCGUCAAGUCAUGAAAGUCGGUAACACCCGAAGCCAGUGGCCCAACCCUUGUGGAGGGAGCUGUCGAAGGUGGGAUCGGUGAUUAGGACUUUU
RNAcentral lists this ribosomal RNA (632 nucleotides) under Frigoribacterium sp. ODP52503by1. RNAcentral describes it as "SSU rRNA". It matches the Rfam family "Bacterial small subunit ribosomal RNA", at positions 853 to 1485 of the family's 1533-position model. Lineage: Bacteria; Bacillati; Actinomycetota; Actinomycetes; Micrococcales; Microbacteriaceae. The record is from RNAcentral.